UUUCUUUUUCUUUUUUUUUUUAUUACAUUUGUAAUGCCCCAGUUGGACUGUUUUGCUGAUUCUCGAGAUGCAGCUGAGUGAUCUUCUUUUCUUGCUCAAGAAGUCGGGAAAUCUCGUCAGGAAUCCUUUCAACAUCAUCUUCCUCUGCUUCGAAUACAGGGAAUUCAAAAUUGGGAGAUGGCGUUGGAUCAUUAUGUUCAAUGGGUUUAAGAAUCAACCUGCAUAAUGAUUUUG
Molecule: long non-coding RNA, 234 nt
Filed under: Lathyrus oleraceus (garden pea)
Lineage: Eukaryota; Viridiplantae; Streptophyta; Magnoliopsida; Fabales; Fabaceae
Description: Pisum sativum (pea) long non-coding RNA (PSAT_LNC016836)
Source: RNAcentral